GUGAGAACUGUCCGAGUCUGAGGAAUGGAUGAUAGUUCCUCGCGGGCUGCCAGGCGACCAGCAUCCCCCGAGGCGGUGCGCUGUACCCUCGCUGCUCCUGUGUGUGUCCAGAACGAAGUACAGGAGCGAAUCCCAGCAUAUAUUCUGAAAGCGCUGAAGAAAAGCAAAUACUAACAAAAAUUUAUAGAAAACACAGCAAAAACUAAAAGAACUAAAAAAAAAAAACAGCAAAAAGACAAUGAAAGUGUUAAUAAUGAGGAAAGCAGUGAAGAUCGAGGCGUGUGUGUUUUGAAAGUCCCCGUCACACGUGAACCAAUGGCAAGAUAACUGAAGGAAAGAGAGAGAGAGACGGGUAGAAAGCGAUAGAAAAGAAGGAAGAAGGUAUAAUUAUGCUCCAUAAAAAGUGCGCGGGCGUGACUCUUGUGUGAGACUCAUUCUCCGUAACCCUUUCCCUCUUUCCUCUCUUUCUCCUAAUCUCUCUUUCUCCUUUUUUAAUCAUUUUCUUUUUUACUACCUCUACCUAGCGACUUGAAUUUGACACACGUGAUUCGAAGUGUCUAUGUAACGCGAUUUAUUCAUUUAUUUUUUUUCUGUGCUACAAAGUUGAAAAAUUCCGCCAAGAUGAUUCACGGAGGGAUGAGGAGAGCGGGUGUUGGUCUGGCCGGCGUGCUGCAUGGUGUGUUGCUGCUACUGAUGCUGCUGCUGCCGGCCUCACGUCACGUCACAGGUGCUACACUGGAUCCUAAAGAUCACCCAGACACAGUGAAGGCAGUGGUGGGCGAGACAGCGAGAAUCCCGUGCCUGGUGCCCCUGACAGACACCGACAAUAUUUACUUCAUCUCCUGGACCAAAAGAGGCAUCGCGGGCCGUGUUUUCAGCGUGGACAUGCGAGAACCAGACAACCCACAGGCUUUCGUCGCGGGGCAGCUGUUCGGCUCUCGCGCAGAGCUUGAUUUCCAGGGCAGAUUUCCAUACCUGAAGGUGGAAGACUUGCUGGAAAAGGACGCUGGUCACUACACAUGCCAGGUAGAGAUCAGGAAAAAGAGGACGCAGGUUGCCGAGUCCACGCUCAAAAUCAUUGUACCUCCCGGCGACCCAACCAUUCUGAGUGAGGACGGCAGGGAGGUGGACAUUCUCGGCCCUUACAAUGAGGGGGACACCAUCAGCGUUACGUGUCGGGUGAUUGGAGGCCAGCCCUCGCCGCGGGUCUCGUGGUUUCAGGAGCAACAAGUGCUGGACGAGGAAGCUGAACAACGCGAGAAACAGGUGGUCAAGAACACACUCCGCCUGGGACCCCUCACCCGAGAACACUUCGGCACCAACUACUCCUGCCAGGCCGUCAACUCUGAUCAGGUCGGGCCACGCAGCAAGGAGGUCACCCUUCAGAUGUACCUUAAGCCACUGACGGUGGAGAUCAAGAAGCCCGACCAUCCCCUGGUGGUGGGUCGGCAGUACAACAUUACCUGUGAGAGUCGUCACGGCCUCCCCCCGGCAGACAUCACCUGGUGGUUCCUCGGCAAGAAGAUCAAUGCUACUCAGAUUUCUAACGAGAUUCGAGGCAACACGUCUCUGAGCACGCUGAGGUUCCAGCCCAAGGUGAAGAACGCCGGGGAGGAGCUGCAGUGCCACGCCGAGUCCAGCAAGAUUAAACACGCCCCUCUGGUUGACUCCUGGCGCCUCGAGGUCCACUAUGCCCCAGACGUCAGGUUAGAAAUGGCACCAGGCCUCGACCUUCACAACGUGCGUGAGGGAGAUGACGUGACCUUGGUGUGUCACGUCAAAGCCAUUCCAGAGCCCAAGAUCAUCUCGUGGUACCAUAAGCUAAUGGAGGUGAACUACGACGCCUCUGCUGGGAUAGAGAGAAGCGGCUACUCACUCCACCUCAGAAACGUGACCCGCCGACAGUCUGGCUCCUACACCUGCCAUGCCUCCAACAUAUACGGAUCGGGGGAGAGUCACCCUAUCAUCCUUAACGUAAUGUAUGUUCCAUAUUGCACGGAAAAAGAGAAAGUUUACCGAGGAGCGGCGAAAAAAGAUGACGUUGAAUUGGAGUGUAACGUGAAAGGGUCACCAGGAAACAUCACUUUCUCUUGGUUCAUUCUCACCCCAGAGGGAUCGCAACCCAUCCCAGAGGAGAACUACACGACACAAGACCUCACUUCGCGCCUCACCUACCAUGUGCAUGAUGAGGAAUACUACCGGAACGUCACGUGCUACGGGGAGAACCUGGUGGGAAAGAUGGAAGAGCCGUGUGAGUUCCAGGUGACCCCCGCGGGUAAGCCUGAUCCCUUAGAUAAUUGCACAGUCUUCAACCAGAGCAGUGAGGCGCUGUUCGUCUACUGUUUCCCGGGAUACAACGGGGGACUCAAGCAGCAUUUUGGGGUGCACGUUUAUGAAGACGCGGAAGGAAUCCGUCUCAAUAUUAAGAACCACACGGAAAUCUCUGAGCCGAAAUUCACAGUAGAUGGUCUGCGCGCGGAAACCGAAUAUCUCCUGUCUAUUUACGCAGAAAACUCCAAAGGAAAGAGUGAGGAAAGAAAAAUUUACGGCUUUACUCUUCCUGCUGUCGGAAGGCCGGUACACAUCUUCCCCAUCACUCCAGUGCUGGGGGUGCUGAUCGGGGUGGUGGGGGCCCUGGUGCUCGUGGCCAUCGUGGUGGUGGUGGUGAUGAAACUCAAAGGAGACUCAAGAAGAGAGAGAAUUCUGCGCCACGUAGCUGAGCAAGGAAUCAAGCUGCCACAGGCCCCUCUACACCCCAAGGACGGUGAGGAACGCACUUGUGUGGUGACGCGACCUACGAAAACGUGGACGGCAUUCCCCCGAAACUGAAACACGCCAAUAUCUACGAAACGGUUCCUUACGACAAAGAAAAAAGCAGCAAUAAUGAGGACUCAGAGAAGGACGACGUGGAGUACGCUGAGCUCACCUUCAACAACGGCAAGAACAAGAACAAGAGCAACAAGCGCGGGGGAGGACCAGGCGGUGCUAACGGAGUAAUUAGAAACGCAGAUGACAACACCAUUUAC
Molecule: unclassified non-coding RNA, 3026 nt
Filed under: Portunus trituberculatus (swimming crab)
Lineage: Eukaryota; Metazoa; Arthropoda; Malacostraca; Decapoda; Portunidae
Description: hemicentin-1-like, transcript variant X7
Source: RNAcentral